AAGCUUCCAGCUUCCAGAAGGGCACUUCCUGGAGGAACCCAGAGGCCUGGACCAGGUUGGGCAUCCCUGGUCAUCCAGGCCACAAGGCCAGAAGCCAGAGGCAGGCGGAGCCCCAGGGCAAGUGGAUGCACGGCUGGGCCUUGGCCCUGAAGCUCCGGAAUGUGGGGGCAGGGCUGCCCACUGACCUCACAAUGGUGGGUCUGCUGUCCCCGGCCAGGCUGCUGGCCGCCGGCCACCUCCCACAACCUGCUGCUGGGCAUGUCCCUCCUCAGCAGCUAUGAGGGCCUGCGGCAGGAGAUCCAGCGGUUGGCACAGGAGAACGAGGAGCUGCGGCGGCUUGUGCAGCUCAUCCAGGAGAACCAAGAGCUGAAGUUGGUCCUCAGGAACAGGGGCAGCAGCCUGGGCUUCUGCAGCUCAGGGUUCCUGGCAGAGGUGGCUGCCAGUCCCCGGGUGCCCAGGCGCAGAACCAUCAAGUUCAAAGAUGCUGAGAGAGUUCUCCCAGGGUUACCAUCUGAAGAGCAACUGCUGGACUCCAGCCGCACCAUCAUGGGGAGCCCUGAGGGGCGCUUCCACUUUGCCAUUGACCGCGGGGGCACCUUUACAGAUGUCUUUGCCCAGUGCCCAGGAGGGCAUGUGCGGGUCCUGAAACUGCUCUCUGAGGACCCUGCCAACUAUGCAGACGCACCAACGGAGGGCAUCCGCCGCAUCCUGGAGGAGGAGGGGGGCGUGCAAUUGCCCCGGGACCGGCCUCUGGACACCAGUCGUAUUGCCAGCAUCCGCAUGGGUACCACAGUGGCCACCAAUGCACUAUUAGAACGACGGGGGGAACGGGUGGCCCUGCUGGUGACACGUGGCUUCCGAGACCUGCUGCACAUUGGCACCCAGGCCCGCGAGGACCUCUUUGAUCUGGCUGUGCCCAUGCCAGAGAUGCUGUAUGAGGAGGUGCUGGAGGUGGAGGAACGCGUGGUGCUUUACCGCGGAGAACCAGGCGCCGGGUCGCCUGUCAAAGGCCGCACAGGAGACCUGCUGGAGGUGCAGCAGCCUGUGGACCUGGGGUCCCUGCGUGGGAAACUGGAGGGGCUCCUGUCCCGGGGCAUCCGCAGCCUGGCGGUGGUUUUCAUGCAUUCCUACACAUGGGCCAAACAUGAGCAGCAGGUGGGCACACUGGCCCGGGAGCUGGGCUUCACGCACGUGUCCCUGUCCUCGGAGGCCAUGCCCAUGGUCCGCAUUGUUCCCCGGGGACACACAGCCUGCGCCGACGCCUACCUCACUCCUGCCAUCCAGCGCUACGUGCAGGGAUUCCGCCGUGGCUUCCAGGGCCAGCUUAAGGACGUGCAGGUGCUCUUCAUGCGCUCCGAUGGUGGCCUGGGGCCCAUGGACGCCUUCAGCGGCUCCCGCGCUGUGCUCUCUGGUCCCGCCGGCGGUGUGGUGGGUUACUCGGCCACAACCUAUCAGCUAGAGGGUCGCCAGCCUAUCAUUGGCUUUGACAUGGGAGGCACAUCCACAGAUGUGAGCCGCUAUGCUGGGGAAUUUGAGCACGUGUUUGAGGCCAGCACAGCUGGUGUCACCCUCCAGGCCCCACAGCUGGACAUCAACACAGUGGCAGCUGGUGGGGGCUCCCGCCUCUUCUUCAGGUCUGGUCUCUUCAUAGUUGGGCCGGAGUCAGCAGGUGCCCACCCAGGACCCGCCUGCUACCGAAAAGGGGGCCCCGUGACAGUGACGGAUGCUAAUCUGGUCCUGGGUCGCCUGCUGCCUGCCUCCUUCCCCUGCAUUUUUGGGCCGGGAGAGGACCAGCCACUGUCCCCUGAAGCCUCCCGCAAGGCCCUGGAGGCUGUGGCCACUGAGGUGAACAGCUUCCUGACCAGCGGGUCCUGCCCGGCCUCCCCACUGAGCCUGGAGGAGGUGGCCAUGGGAUUYGUACGUGUGGCCAAUGAGGCCAUGUGCCGGCCCAUCCGUGCGCUCACACAGGCACGAGGUCAUGACCCCUCAGCCCAUGUGCUGGCCUGCUUCGGGGGAGCUGGCGGGCAGCAUGCUUGUGCCAUUGCCCGGGCCCUGGGCAUGGACACUGUGCAUAUUCACAGGCACAGUGGGCUGCUGUCGGCUCUGGGGCUGGCUCUGGCAGAUGUGGUGCAUGAGGCACAGGAGCCUUGCUCCCUGCCUUACACGCCAGAGACCUUCAUGCAGCUGGACCAGAGACUGAGCCUCCUGGAGGAGCAGUGUGUGGAUGCCCUGAAGGCCCAGGGCUUCCCUAGGUCCCAGAUCAGCACGGAGAGCUUCCUGCAUCUGCGUUACCAGGGAACUGACUGUGCCCUGAUGGUGUCUGCCCACCAGCACCCAGCUACGUCCCGCUCACCCCGUGCUGGUGACUUUGGGGCAGCCUUUGUGGAAAGGUACCUGAGGGAGUUUGGCUUCGUCAUCCCUGAGCGGCCUGUGGUGGUGGACGACGUGAGGGUGAGGGGCACUGGCCGCAGUGGUCUUCGGCUGGAGGUCGCCCCCAAAGCCCAGACUGGGCCUCCCCGGGUGGACAAGGUGACCCAGUGCUACUUCGAGGGGGGUUACCAGGAGACCCCUGUGUACCUGCUAGGGGAGCUGGGCUAUGGGCACCAGCUCCAGGGGCCCUGCCUCAUCAUUGACAGCAACAGCACCAUCCUUGUGGAGCCUGGGUGCCAGGCAGAGGUGACCAAGUCGGGGGACAUCCGCAUCUCUGUGGGGGCUGAGGCCCCCAGCACAGUGGGCACUAAGCUUGAUCCCAUCCAGCUGUCUAUCUUUUCACAUCGCUUCAUGAGCAUUGCUGAGCAGAUGGGCCGCAUCCUGCAGCGCACUGCCAUCUCCACCAACAUCAAGGAACGCCUGGACUUCUCCUGUGCCCUCUUUGGACCUGAUGGGGGGCUGGUCUCUAAUGCCCCCCACAUUCCUGUGCAUCUGGGAGCCAUGCAGGAGACUGUGCAGUUCCAGAUCCAGCACUUGGGGUCUGAUCUCCACCCGGGUGAUGUGCUGCUCAGCAACCACCCCCGCGCAGGGGGCAGCCAUCUUCCAGACCUGACUGUAAUCACACCGGUAUUUUGGCCAGGUCAGACUCGGCCUGUGUUCUACGUGGCCAGCCGAGGGCAUCAUGCAGACAUUGGGGGUAUUACACCAGGCUCCAUGCCCCCACACUCCACUGCACUGCAACAGGAGGGGGCCGUCUUUCUGUCCUUCAAGCUGGUCCAGGGGGGCGUCUUUCAGGAGGAGGCGGUGACAGAGGCUUUACGGGCACCAAGCAAGAUCUCUGGUUGUAGUGGAACUAGGAAUCUGCAUGACAAUCUGUCGGAUCUCCGGGCCCAGGUGGCAGCCAACCAAAAGGGCAUACAGUUGGUGGGGGAGCUCAUCGGGCAAUAUGGCUUGGAUGUUGUGCAGGCCUACAUGGGCCACAUUCAGGCAAAUGCAGAGCUGGCAGUGCGUGACAUGCUGCGGGCCUUUGGAACCUCCCGGCAGGCUCGGGGCCUACCCCUUGAGGUGUCUGCGGAGGACCACAUGGAUGAUGGCUCUCCUAUACACCUCCGAGUUCAGAUCAACCUGAGUCAGGGCAGUGCUGUAUUUGACUUCAGUGGCACUGGGCCGGAGGUGUUUGGCAACCUCAAUGCCCCGCGGGCCAUAACGCUGUCGGCCCUCAUCUACUGCUUGCGCUGUCUUGUGGGCCGAGACAUCCCACUCAACCAGGGCUGCCUGGCACCUGUGCGGGUGGUGAUUCCUAGAGGCUCCAUCCUGGACCCAUCCUCAGAGGCAGCGGUGGUGGGCGGCAACGUGCUCACGUCACAGCGUGUGGUGGACGUCAUCCUGGCGGCCUUCGGGGCCUGCGCUGCCUCCCAGGGCUGCAUGAACAACGUGACCCUGGGCAAUGCCCAUAUGGGGUACUACGAGACGGUAGCGGGCGGUGCAGGUGCGGGCCCCGGUUGGCACGGACGCAGCGGCGUGCACAGCCACAUGACCAACACGCGCAUCACCGACCCCGAGAUACUGGAGAGCCGGUACCCGGUCGUCUUGCGCCGCUUUGAACUGAGGCCGGGCUCUGGGGGCCGAGGCCGAUUCCGGGGCGGCGACGGCGUGGUCCGCGAGCUGCUCUUCCGCGAAGAGGCGCUGCUGUCGGUGCUCACAGAACGCCGGGCCUUCCAGCCCUAUGGCCUUCAGGGGGGUGAGCCUGGCGCCAGGGGCCUAAACCUGCUGAUCCGAAAGGAUGGCCGCACUGUGAACCUUGGCGGGAAGACGUCGGUGUCAGUGUACCCGGGGGAACCAGGUUGAGGGAUGGUUCCAGCGCCAGCGAGCCCAGCAGUCCUGAACUCUGGCACUUACUGGAAUCAGCACACUCCCAGGCAUUUCCCGGGUCUUGCUAAGCUGCCAUUGGAUUUGCCAUCUUCCUGCCUCAGCCUCCCAAGAUGGAGCCAGCUUUCUUCUGGUUGCUGUCAGGAGCCGCUCUGGAAAUACAUGCCCUUAAGUCCUGAGCAAGAGAUACUGAACAACUAUUGUGCCCUGCAAUAACUUGGGCUUUACCUCCACUCCAGAUAAUGAGGCAUGACUCCAGGAGUAGGGUUAUCCACUGGGGUCAAGUUACACUCACCAGUUCCUUUGUAAUCCUACCCCUUGCCCUUUUGGAUAGAAUGUUCUGCAAAACAGCAUCCCCCAAUAAAAGCCAAC
Molecule: RNA transcript, 4671 nt
Organism: Urocitellus parryii (Arctic ground squirrel)
Lineage: Eukaryota; Metazoa; Chordata; Mammalia; Rodentia; Sciuridae
Gene: Oplah
Gene name: 5-oxoprolinase, ATP-hydrolysing
Source: RefSeq, a predicted model, not a curated record